This 468-nucleotide ribosomal RNA is filed under the name uncultured bacterium. RNAcentral describes it as "partial 16S ribosomal RNA". It matches the Rfam family "Bacterial small subunit ribosomal RNA", at positions 28 to 507 of the family's 1533-position model. The record is from RNAcentral.
GAUGAACGCUGGCGGCGUGCUUAACACAUGCAAGUCGAACGGAAAGGCCCAAGCUUGCUUGGGUACUCGAGUGGCGAACGGGUGAGUAACCCGUGGGUGAUCUGCCCUGCACUUCGGGACAAGCCUGGGCAACUGGGACUAAUACCGGAUAGGACCACGUCUUAGAUGUUGUGGUGGAAAGUUCUUUCGGUGGGGGAUGUGCUCGCGGCCUAUCAGCUUGUUGGUGGGGUAGUGGCCUACCAAGGCGUCGACGGGUAGCCGGCCUGAGGGGGCGUACGGCCACAUUAGAACUGAGAGACAGGCCAGAGUCCGACAGGAUGCAGCAGGGGGGAAUAUUUGACAAAGGGCGGAAGCCUGAGGCAGGAACGCCGCGUGGGGGUUGACGGCCUUCGGGUUGUAAACUCCUUUCGCUAGGGACGAAGCGUUUUUGUGACGGUACCUGGAGAAGAAGCACCGGCUAACUACGUG